AAUCAAGCGCGAGAAGGGCGUUUGGGGAAUGCCUUGGCAGUAAGAGGCGAUGAAGGACGUGAUACACUGCGAUAAGCUGUGGUUAGCCGUGAAUAGGCACUAUACCCACAGAUUUCCGAAUGGGGCAACCCACUUGAUACUCAGUUAUUGAAUA
RNAcentral lists this ribosomal RNA (154 nucleotides) under Paracoccaceae bacterium. RNAcentral's name for it is "partial 23S ribosomal RNA". It matches the Rfam family "Bacterial large subunit ribosomal RNA", at positions 1 to 150 of the family's 2925-position model. Lineage: Bacteria; Pseudomonadati; Pseudomonadota; Alphaproteobacteria; Rhodobacterales; Paracoccaceae. The record is from RNAcentral.